GACGAACGCUGGCGGCGUGCCUAAUACAUGCAAGUUGAGCGAUGAAGAUUGGUGCUUGCACCAAUUUGAAGAGCAGCGAACGGGUGAGUAACGCGUGGGGAAUCUGCCUUUGAGCGGGGGACAACAUUUGGAAACGAAUGCUAAUACCGCAUAACAACUUUAAACAUAAGUUUUAAGUUUGAAAGAUGCAAUUGCAUCACUCAAAGAUGAUCCCGCGUUGUAUUAGCUAGUUGGUGAGGUAAAGGCUCACCAAGGCGAUGAUACAUAGCCGACCUGAGAGGGUGAUCGGCCACAUUGGGACUGAGACACGGCCCAAACUCCUACGGGAGGCAGCAGUAGGGCAUCUUCGGCAAUGGACGAAAGUCUGACCGAGCAACGCCGCGUGAGUGAAGAAGGUUUUCGGAUCGUAAAACUCUGUUGGUAGAGAAGAACGUUGGUGAGAGUGGAAAGCUCAUCAAGUGACGGUAACUACCCAGAAAGGGACGGCUAACUACGUG
This 497-nucleotide ribosomal RNA is filed under the name uncultured bacterium. Its description in RNAcentral is "partial 16S ribosomal RNA". It matches the Rfam family "Bacterial small subunit ribosomal RNA", at positions 28 to 507 of the family's 1533-position model. The record is from RNAcentral.